Molecule: ribosomal RNA, 253 nt
Filed under: uncultured bacterium
Lineage: Bacteria
Description: partial 16S ribosomal RNA
Rfam family: Bacterial small subunit ribosomal RNA
Source: RNAcentral
UACAGAGGGUGCAAGCGUUAAUCGGAUUUACUGGGCGUAAAGGGCGCGUAGGUGGUUGCGUAAGUGAGAUGUGAAAUCCCCGGGCUUAACCUGGGAACUGCAUCUUAAACUGCGUGGCUGGAGUGAAGUAGAGGGUAGUGGAAUUUCCGGUGUAGCGGUGAAAUGCGUAGAUAUCGGAAGGAACACCAGUGGCGAAGGCGGCUACCUGGACUUACACUGACACUGAGGCGCGAGAGCGUGGGUAGCAAACAGG